RNAcentral lists this ribosomal RNA (253 nucleotides) under uncultured bacterium. RNAcentral's name for it is "partial 16S ribosomal RNA". It matches the Rfam family "Bacterial small subunit ribosomal RNA", at positions 524 to 776 of the family's 1533-position model. The record is from RNAcentral.
UACGUAGGGGGCUAGCGUUGUCCGGAAUCAUUGGGCGUAAAGCGCGCGUAGGCGGCCAGAUAAGUCCGGUGUGAAAGUCACAGGCUCAACCUGUGAAUGCCGCUGGAAACUGUCUGGCUUGAGUCCGGAAGGGGCGAGUGGAAUUCCUGGUGUAGCGGUGAAAUGCGCAGAUAUCAGGAAGAACACCAACGGCGAAGGCAGCUCGCUGGGACGGAACUGACGCUGAGACGCGAAAGCGUGGGGAGCAAACAGG